RNAcentral lists this signal recognition particle RNA (97 nucleotides) under Gammaproteobacteria bacterium. RNAcentral describes it as "signal recognition particle sRNA small type". It matches the Rfam family "Bacterial small signal recognition particle RNA". Rfam says of the family: The signal recognition particle (SRP) is a universally conserved ribonucleoprotein involved in the co-translational targeting of proteins to membranes. The record is from RNAcentral. Lineage: Bacteria; Pseudomonadati; Pseudomonadota; Gammaproteobacteria.
CGUCGGUUCCCCCGCGACAACCAGUUGUAAACCCCGUCAGGCCCGGAAGGGAGCAGCGGUAGCAGCUGAGUUGGGUGCCGGGGUCGGGCUGGCGCGG